Molecule: long non-coding RNA, 2887 nt
Organism: Columba livia (rock pigeon)
Lineage: Eukaryota; Metazoa; Chordata; Aves; Columbiformes; Columbidae
Exons: 3
Source: RefSeq, a predicted model, not a curated record
AUUUGGAUGUUCUUUAGGACAAAAAAAAAUUAAAGCACUUGAACCAAUAAACUACAGCAGAUUUAGCAAUGAGGGGUUAAGACGUCAUUCUGUGCAGCUGUCUGCCUGUCCCGUCAGCUGUGGUUCCAGCAGGAGAACAAAGCUGGCAGCAUCAGACGUGUCUCCAGGCAAAGCACCCGCUCUCUCUGGCCUCCGUGGCCGAUGGAUCCUGUGGAUGUGCCAGACUGACUGACAGUGGCUGAGACACGCAUGUGUGAGAUGCAAUGGGGGCAGAAACUCCUGGCAGAGGAGCUGAAGAUGCAAACCUCAUGAUCACUCAUGGACUGGACUUCUGUAUUUCUCCUCCUUUCCCAUUCCUAUGGUCUUACAGUCAGCUACAGGCUGGAGGCCACAUGCACAUUCUCUAUGGACAAGACAAUGGUUGACUGUGUUUCUGUGCUGUCUUGGAAAACCACAGAGCCUUUGGUGAAGAAUGGGAAACAGUAGCUGCUUGGUGUAUUCUUCAAGUGGUGAACACCUGCUGAUGGAGAGGUUCUCAAAUGCAUGCUGCACACAAAGCUCAGAACAAAACCAAGCAGGAUUCUGGAGGAAAGACUGAAAUUAAGAACAGUACCUGUUGAGGAAGCACUGCCUCUUUCUUGGCCCAGGGAGAGGACUCACCAGAACAACAUGUGGUUGGGAAUUAAAUCCAGAUUUCCUGGGCCUAGUCUGGUGACCAGUCCAUAAACUGCAAGUAGUUGCCUGGUCAAUUAGUUAAAGACUUGGGAUUAAUCUCCAUUAGAAUAAUCUCCAGAAUUGUCACUCUAUGAUCAAGCUUCAGGGUUCUGUCCAUACUAAUGCUUAUUCUUUUAUUUCGUUGUGAUUAGAAUCAAGUAAGUGUGAAAUUAAGUGUAUUCCUGUUCAUAAGUAAUUAAGAUUUGUAUCUCUAAUACCUGACAAGCUGGAAUCAUGCUGAGAUCAAAAAAUUGAGGGAAACCCAGAAACCUAAUGACUCAAAUUCUAUUGGUUGGAUAGAGAGAUCAUAUGAACAUGAAAGCCUGUGAUUAAAUCUAUCCUUGUGUCUCUGUUUAAUCUUCUGCCAUGGCUGUCCUUGCUGCACUGCUCUCCAGAUUUUCAAUCCUUGUCUUGUUAAGUGUUUGUUCUGAUCUUUCUUCUCGGUUCCUGCUCUUAGGCUUUUUUAAUUCUUUCCACCCUCUGGAGUCAGUAGCUCUCAUGCUACAAGGAUAUUGACAAGUAAAAAUUACUGUUCUGAACAACAGAUGUUGGAUGAAAUUAUGGCCCCUGCCCUCAAGUUCAUUAGGAAAUGCAUAAUGUUUACCACUGUGCUAUGGUUUAAGGUCAUAGUGCAGGGAUGUAGAGCAUAAGGACUUAGAUGCCUGGAAUCUUUCACAUGUCGCAUAUGAACUUCCGAAGUGCACAGGCUGAGGUUUGAGUGCCUGAGCCAUUCUGUUGUUGAAAAUAACUUUCAUUCCCAAAUGCAGAGAAAGUGACACUAGUGAAAAAAUAAACUAGCUUGAUACACAUUUAGUGCAGGUAUAUUUUGUGUUGCUCAGGAAUCAAAAAAAAUCUAACCAUUCUAAAGAAAAUGAACUUGAAAUUUGAAUGUAAAUUCACAUUUACUGUAUAUGUGUUCUUUCAAAUUUUGUUUCUGAUCAUAAGUUGGACUAGUUUUUGACAGUCUGCAUAGCUUCCUCUUGAUAUUAAUGCAAAGAGAGAUCAGUGCAGCAUAUUGCAGAAACCAUUUGCUACUAAUCCUGCACAAAAGAGGCUGUGUGAACUGUUAUUAGCUACAUAUAACUUCAAUAUUCUUUUCAACAGCAUGACAUAUUCUUUCUAAAUGAGGAAGACAAAACUUAAAGGUCUUGGUGACACUGCAUCUCUGUUACCAAUAAGUACAUCCUUAAGCCGUAGAAUUUUGUGACAGUGUCAUCAACAUCGCAUACAAUGUCUGCAUCUUUUUUGUAUUGCUCUUAUUUUGAAAAAAAUCCCUGGUAGAAGUUCUUUUCAAUAUUACUUCACAUAAAUAGAACGAUCCUUCAUUGCCUUUAUAGGAUGAUUUCUUAGGGAAGGAAUUGUGUUUUGUUCCCACCCCCCCAUCUAUACCUCUGCUCUGCUUUCCAGUCACUCUGAAUUUUAGUUGCUUUUUAAUUAAAGCUUUGGUCAAAGGGUCAGGAUGCCUUGAACUUAGGCUGAAGGAUAAUGUAGGAUAGGAAUUGGAUAUUUAUAUAAAUCUGCUUUCAUUUAGUAUGUUUCUGAUAGGAAACAGUACUUUCAAUUCAGAGCCCAGAACGACUGCAUCAACUUGAAGAAUGAGUUUAUGUAUUUAAAUAACGUACUUUAAACAAAAUGCCCGAACUUUUGCUUUAAGUGAAACAAAGUCAUCCCACUUAAAGCAGUGCUUUUGAAUAUUGAGUCAACCACAGAAUUUUCCAUAGCUCUUCCACAAGGGUAAAUAUUAAUGAUGAUUUAUGAAUUGUUGCUUGUUUGACUCAUACACCAGAGUUUCAAAAGAUUUAAUACAGUCUUGCUAUGAAGUGUUUGCUGUCUGACUCUGCAGUCGCUGAAUAGUUACUGUUCUUAAGUGAUGUAGAAGUAAUAGUUUGAACAACUGCACUAAGCCAUAGUAAGAAGUUGAAAUAUCAGCUCUUGUGAAUGGCAAUUAAAUGUUUCUAAGCACUCAGAUUGGAGUGCUGAAAUUUUAUUACUUGUAGCUGCUCAGGCUUUUGUCCAGUUGUUAUCACGGGGUUACAGUUUUCUCUUAACUAGAUCAAGAGAUAUUAAGGUUAAUUUAGUCUGUGUAUGUCUGCCUCACUUCAGGGCUGAGGUUUUUCUACUCUUCUACAUCUUGCUGAAAUAAUAAUAAUAAUAAAAAGUAUGUGGACUUCAA